Molecule: long non-coding RNA, 367 nt
Filed under: Nicotiana benthamiana
Lineage: Eukaryota; Viridiplantae; Streptophyta; Magnoliopsida; Solanales; Solanaceae
Description: long non-coding RNA (NBEN_LNC018302)
Source: RNAcentral
CGUGGUCAUCUGACCAAGAUUAAGAAGGGUUAGGGUAGUUGAAAUAGAGUUGAAAAUUUUAGUUUGAAUCAAUGUCAGUAUAGGUAUUUUGAAGAGAAAGAAUCUUGUGGUAACUGAAUAGAAUUCCCUAGAACCUUCUAGAGGAGAGUCUAAUUAGAAUUUCAGUAGUUUUAGGCGUAGUAAUUUGGCCAACAAAGCAUAAAUAAAAGGACCAAUGGGCUAAAAUCUGAAAAAUAGAAGAAGGACUUAGAGUGUAACUGAAAUGGAAAGGGUUGCCCUAAGUUUGCCUGUAAAAAGGGCAUAUCCUUGCCUUGAAAAAGGGGGAGUGGGAGAAGCUUUUAGAAGGUUUUGGAAUUUGAAAAAUCCC